This 1516-nucleotide long non-coding RNA is filed under the name Homo sapiens (human). Its description in RNAcentral is "HSALNT0262851". The record is from RNAcentral. Lineage: Eukaryota; Metazoa; Chordata; Mammalia; Primates; Hominidae.
CAAAAAAACACAACUUUCUGAUUGUACAUGAAGGAGGAAGAGAUUGAGGUAACUAUGCUGAGUUGGAAAUUUCUAGCCAACGUAACUAAACAGUGCCAUGUAGUAAAGAGGGAAGACUGAAGUAGAUCAGAGUCAGGGAGAAGCAUUUUAUUGAUCUUAUUUACAUCAGGUGAAGAAUGAGGUAUCUUUGAAACAUCUAUGUGAAGAUAGCAAGAAGAUAACUGGUAAUUCAGGUCCAGAGCUGUAAGGAUUGCUCAAGACUGGGGUAUUCUAUUUUCAAUGCCUUUAAAGUAAGGGAGGUAACUGAAGCCAAGGGCACAGAUGAGGCUGGGGAGAGGCCAUACAAGGCAAAAGAGCCUUGGACAAAACCUUUAGGUAUUUCAACAUUGAGUGGGCAGCUAGAUAUGGAUGACUGCACAAAGAAGGGAGAGAGGGAGGGAACGAAUGAGGAAAAAGAUGUUACAGAGCCAAGGAAAGAGAACAUAUUUCACGAAUUGAGUAUUAGACACAAUAAAAUUCUACUGAUGGCCCAAGAAUGACAAGGACUUGUGAUUUAUAAGCACCAAGUCACUUCUGACCUUAGUCACAAUGUCGGAGAAGGUGGCAUUGUAGCAAGGAGUUCCACAAAGAGUAGAGGUUUGGGAAGUGGAGAGAAAUCAAGAAAGAGGUAAUGGAGAAGUGAAAAUAUUACACAAAAAAGGAAAACAUCCCUAAGAGGCUCCUCUAUUAAAGGAGGAGAGGGAGGAAAGGACAAAUAAUCAAGUUGGAGAAACCCAUACACACACAGGAAAGACCAGACUGGUGGUGACUGACACUCAAGCAGAAGUCAGUUAUGCAAAGAUAACUUAGAAAGUGUAAGUGACAAAAGAACAUGCAGAUGAAAAACAGGCUUGUAGGUGGCCAUGAUGACAUCGAAGGCAAAUGUCAGGAGGAAACUCAAGAUUGCAAAGAAAGUGACCACUGCUUAUGUGUGAUUCCAGGGAUCAACAAGAGACAGAGUGAGAAGGGACCACUUCAAACACGUGUCAUUUUACCCAAGAGCAGGGACAUGGAAUGGCACUGGGAAGGGCAAACAGGUAUGGUGAGGCCAACAGAUCAGGAGAUACUGCCAUUGAAGAGAUGCUUAGCUACACACACUUCCCAAGAAAGGGGCACACACCAGGCAGUGUAGGACCACAUGCGGAAGCAGCAGGAUCGGAAAAACAGCAGGAGCUGGGGGAAAGCAUGGGCAAGAACCUUCACUGUGCUUUUGCAGGUAAGAAUGGUCAAGACAAGGUAAGCAAGCUAAGCAGGGUUAGGCUUGGCUUUUUAAUUUUAUUUUAUUUUGAGACAGGCUCUCACUCUUGUCACCUAGGCUGGAGUACAGUGGUACCAUCAUAGCUCACUGCAGCCUCAACCUCCUGGGCUCAUUUAAUACUCCCACCUCAGCCUCCCAAGUAGCUGGGAGUACAGGCAUACACCACCAUGCCUAGCUAAUUAUUAUAUCUUUUUGUAGAGAUGGGGUCUCACUAUGUUG